CUGGUAGCCUGGCAGGGGAGAUACUAUGAUCAUGAAGGUGGUUUUCCCAUGGUGAGGCUCAUCCAUUGCACUGUGGGUGUGCUGACCCCUGCGAUUUCCCCAAAUGCGGGAAACUCGACUGCAUAAUUUGUGGUCGUGGGGGACUGCGUUCAUGCUCUCCCCUA
This is a small nuclear RNA of Emys orbicularis (European pond turtle), 164 nucleotides long. RefSeq annotates it as U1 spliceosomal RNA. Lineage: Eukaryota; Metazoa; Chordata; Testudines; Emydidae. The transcript has a single exon. The record is from RefSeq and is a predicted model, not a curated record.